AAGUCGUAACAAGGUUUCCGUAGGUGAACCUGCGGAAGGAUCAUUAACCUUUCCAAAUCAGGGUGCGUCGCGGCCCCCCAGAGGAGCGGAAACAAUCCUUGGGAGGUUUGCGGAGUCUUCGGACCCCUUAACGCACGCACGACUGCCAUCCUUACUUUACGAGCACCUUCUGUUCUCCCUCGGCGGGGCAAACCUGCCGUUGGAACCGAAUAAACUCUUUUUCGCAUCUAGCAUUACCUGUUCCGAAACAAACAAUCGUUACAA
RNAcentral lists this unclassified non-coding RNA (264 nucleotides) under plant metagenome. RNAcentral describes it as "partial contains small subunit ribosomal RNA and internal transcribed spacer 1". The stretch from base 1 to 46 matches the Rfam family "Eukaryotic small subunit ribosomal RNA", at positions 1786 to 1831 of the family's 1831-position model. The record is from RNAcentral.